This 404-nucleotide ribosomal RNA is filed under the name uncultured bacterium. RNAcentral's name for it is "bacterial SSU rRNA". It matches the Rfam family "Bacterial small subunit ribosomal RNA", at positions 355 to 776 of the family's 1533-position model. The record is from RNAcentral.
UGGGGAAUAUUGGACAAUGGGGGCAACCCUGAUCCAGCGAUGCCGCGUGAGUGAUGAAGGCCUUCGGGUUGUAAAGCUCUUUUGUGGGGGACGAUGAUGACGGUACCCCACGAAUAAGCCCCGGCUAACUUCGUGCCAGCAGCCGCGGUAAUACGAAGGGGGCUAGCGUUGUUCGGAAUGACUGGGCGUAAAGGGUGCGUAGGCGGUUUAAUAAGUUUGGUGUGAAAGUCCUGGGCUCAACCUGGGGAUUGCACUGGAAACUAUUAGACUAGAGAUCGAGAGAGGAAAAUGGAAUUGCGAGUGUAGAGGUGAAAUUCGUAGAUAUUCGCAAGAACACCGGUGGCGAAGGCGGUUUUCUGGCUCGAUACUGACGCUAAGGCACGAAAGCGUGGGGAGCAAACAGG